GACGAACGCUGGCGGCGUGCUUAACACAUGCAAGUCGAGCGGUAAGGCCCUUUCGGGGGUACACGAGCGGCGAACGGGUGAGUAACACGUGGGUGACCUCGCCCUCAGCUCUGGGAUAAGCCUGGGAAACCGGGUCUAAUACUGGAUAUGACUCCAUGACGCAUGUUGUGGGGUGGAAAGCCUUGUGCGGCUGAGGAUGGGCCCGCGGCCUAUCAGCUUGUUGGUGGGGUGANGGCCUACCAAGGCGACGACGGGUAGCCGGCCUGAGAGGG
RNAcentral lists this ribosomal RNA (272 nucleotides) under uncultured bacterium. RNAcentral's name for it is "partial 16S ribosomal RNA". It matches the Rfam family "Bacterial small subunit ribosomal RNA", at positions 28 to 300 of the family's 1533-position model. The record is from RNAcentral.